CACUUCUAGCUAACCCAACACGUAUUAGAAGCACUGCCUGCCCAGUGACAUUGAUUUAACGGCCACGGUAUUUUGACCGUGCAAAGGUAGCAUAAUCACUUGUUUUUUAAAUAAAGACUUGUAUGAAUGGCAAAACGAAAGCUUAACUGUCUCCACUGUCCAGCCAGUGAAACUGAUCUUCCUGUUCAAAAGCAGGAAUAAAAAUGUAAGACGAAAAGACCCUAUGGAACUUUAGACACAAAUCAGCUAUGCCAACAGACCGCAUAUACCAUGACCCCCGUCUUUAGUUGGGGCGACUGCGGAGAACAAAAAUCCUCCGUGACAUCUACUAAACCACACACAACUAAGUACCAAGACACUUGAAACAGCUGACCCAAUAAAAUUGAUCAACGAACUAAGCUACCCUAGGGAUAACAGCGCAAUCUUCUUACAGAGGCCAUAUCGACAAGAAGGUUUACGACCUCGAUGUUGGAUCAGGAUAUCCAGACAGUGUAGCCGCUGUCACAGGUUUGUUUGUUCAACAAUUAAAAUCCU
This 534-nucleotide ribosomal RNA is filed under the name Typhlonectes natans (Rio Cauca caecilian). RNAcentral's name for it is "partial 16S ribosomal RNA". It matches the Rfam family "Bacterial large subunit ribosomal RNA", at positions 1816 to 2597 of the family's 2925-position model. Lineage: Eukaryota; Metazoa; Chordata; Amphibia; Gymnophiona; Typhlonectidae. The record is from RNAcentral.